AGUGAACGCUGGCGGUAGGCCUAACACAUGCAAGUCGAACGGCAGCACAGUAAGAGCUUGCUCUUACGGGUGGCGAGUGGCGGACGGGUGAGGAAUACAUCGGAAUCUACUUUUUCGUGGGGGCUAACGUAGGGAACCUUACGCUAAUACCGCAUACGACCUACGGGUGAAAGCAGGGGAUCUUCGGACCUUGCGCGAUUGCAUGAGCCGAUGUCGGAUUAGCUAGUUGGCGGGGUAAAGGCCCACCAAGGCGACGAUCCGUAGCUGGUCUGAGAGGAUGAUCAGCCACACUGGAACUGAGACACGGUCCAGACUCCUACGGGAGGCAGAAGUGGGGAAUGUUGGACAAUGGGCGCAAGCCUGAUCCAGCCAUACCGCGUGGGUGAAGAAGGCCUUCGGGUUGUAAAGCCCUUUUGUUGGGAAAGAAAAGCAGCAGGUUAAUACCCCGCUGUUCUGACGGUACCCAAAGAAUAAGCACCGGCUAACUUCGUG
Molecule: ribosomal RNA, 492 nt
Filed under: uncultured bacterium
Lineage: Bacteria
Description: partial 16S ribosomal RNA
Rfam family: Bacterial small subunit ribosomal RNA
Source: RNAcentral